CAAAUUUUUUUGAAAAAUUUGCAUUCAUAAAAUGACUAUAUAUUGGUAGAUUCAAAUAAAACUAAAAUAUAAAACUAUAUAACAAGCAUAAAUACAUCAAAUAAAGACAUUAAAUCUAUCAUUUUUAGAAAUUAUUAGCUUUAAACAAUUUAUAGGCUAAAAUAAUUAUGUAGAUACUAGUCCAUAGUUAUCAAAGGCUCAAGGCG
RNAcentral lists this unclassified non-coding RNA (206 nucleotides) under Hevea brasiliensis (rubber tree). Lineage: Eukaryota; Viridiplantae; Streptophyta; Magnoliopsida; Malpighiales; Euphorbiaceae. The record is from RNAcentral.